GGAUAAACGCUGGCGGCGUGCCUAACACAUGCAAGUCGAACGCCCUUUUGCGCAAGUGAGAGGGAGUGGCGGACGGGUGAGUACCACGUGGGUACCUACCUUGAGGUGAGGAAUACCACCGAGAAAUCGGUGACAAGACCGCAUACGCUCGGGCAACCGAGCAAAGUCAUGCAAAUGACGCCACAAGAUGAGCCUGCGCCUGAUUAGCUGGUUGGUGAGGAACAGCUCACCAAGGCGACGAUCAGUAGCUGGUCUGAGAGGAUGAUCAGCCACACUGGGAUUGAGAACGG
This 290-nucleotide ribosomal RNA is filed under the name uncultured bacterium. RNAcentral describes it as "partial 16S ribosomal RNA". It matches the Rfam family "Bacterial small subunit ribosomal RNA", at positions 27 to 329 of the family's 1533-position model. The record is from RNAcentral.